Molecule: ribosomal RNA, 2900 nt
Filed under: Klebsiella pneumoniae
Lineage: Bacteria; Pseudomonadati; Pseudomonadota; Gammaproteobacteria; Enterobacterales; Enterobacteriaceae
Description: bacterial LSU rRNA
Rfam family: Bacterial large subunit ribosomal RNA
Source: RNAcentral
UUAAGCGACUAAGCGUACACGGUGGAUGCCCUGGCAGUCAGAGGCGAUGAAGGACGUGCUAAUCUGCGAAAAGCGUCGGUAAGGUGAUAUGAACCGUUAUAGCCGGCGAUGUCCGAAUGGGGAAACCCAGUGCAAUUCGUUGCACUAUCGUUAACUGAAUACAUAGGUUAACGAGGCGAACCGGGGGAACUGAAACAUCUAAGUACCCCGAGGAAAAGAAAUCAACCGAGAUUCCCCCAGUAGCGGCGAGCGAACGGGGAGCAGCCCAGAGUCUGAAUCAGCUUGUGUGUUAGUGGAACGGUCUGGAAAGUCCGACGGUACAGGGUGAUAGUCCCGUACACCAAAAUGCACAGGUUGUGAACUCGAAGAGUAGGGCGGGACACGUGGUAUCCUGUCUGAAUAUGGGGGGACCAUCCUCCAAGGCUAAAUACUCCUGACUGACCGAUAGUGAACCAGUACCGUGAGGGAAAGGCGAAAAGAACCCCGGCGAGGGGAGUGAAAAAGAACCUGAAACCGUGUACGUACAAGCAGUGGGAGCACCUUCGGGUGUGACUGCGUACCUUUUGUAUAAUGGGUCAGCGACUUAUAUUCUGUAGCAAGGUUAACCGUAUAGGGGAGCCGCAGGGAAACCGAGUCUUAACUGGGCGUUAAGUUGCAGGGUAUAGACCCGAAACCCGGUGAUCUAGCCAUGGGCAGGUUGAAGGUUGGGUAACACUAACUGGAGGACCGAACCGACUAAUGUUGAAAAAUUAGCGGAUGACUUGUGGCUGGGGGUGAAAGGCCAAUCAAACCGGGAGAUAGCUGGUUCUCCCCGAAAGCUAUUUAGGUAGCGCCUCGUGAAUUCAUCUUCGGGGGUAGAGCACUGUUUCGGCUAGGGGGUCAUCCCGACUUACCAACCCGAUGCAAACUACGAAUACCGAAGAAUGUUAUCACGGGAGACACACGGCGGGUGCUAACGUCCGUCGUGAAGAGGGAAACAACCCAGACCGCCAGCUAAGGUCCCAAAGUCAUGGUUAAGUGGGAAACGAUGUGGGAAGGCACAGACAGCCAGGAUGUUGGCUUAGAAGCAGCCAUCAUUUAAAGAAAGCGUAAUAGCUCACUGGUCGAGUCGGCCUGCGCGGAAGAUGUAACGGGGCUAAACCAUGCACCGAAGCUGCGGCAGCGACACUAUGUGUUGUUGGGUAGGGGAGCGUUCUGUAAGCCUGCGAAGGUGACCUGUGAGGGUUGCUGGAGGUAUCAGAAGUGCGAAUGCUGACAUAAGUAACGAUAAAGCGGGUGAAAAGCCCGCUCGCCGGAAGACCAAGGGUUCCUGUCCAACGUUAAUCGGGGCAGGGUGAGUCGACCCCUAAGGCGAGGCCGAAAGGCGUAGUCGAUGGGAAACAGGUUAAUAUUCCUGUACUUGGUGUUACUGCGAAGGGGGGACGGAGAAGGCUAUGUUAGCCGGGCGACGGUUGUCCCGGUUUAAGCAUGUAGGCUGAUUGUCCAGGCAAAUCCGGAUAAUCAAGGCUGAGGUGUGAUGACGAGGCACUACGGUGCUGAAGUAACAAAUGCCCUGCUUCCAGGAAAAGCCUCUAAGCAUCAGGUAACAUCAAAUCGUACCCCAAACCGACACAGGUGGUCAGGUAGAGAAUACCAAGGCGCUUGAGAGAACUCGGGUGAAGGAACUAGGCAAAAUGGUGCCGUAACUUCGGGAGAAGGCACGCUGGUGUGUAGGUGAAGUCCCUGCGGAUGGAGCUGAGACCAGUCGAAGAUACCAGCUGGCUGCAACUGUUUAUUAAAAACACAGCACUGUGCAAACACGAAAGUGGACGUAUACGGUGUGACGCCUGCCCGGUGCCGGAAGGUUAAUUGAUGGGGUUAUCCGUAAGGAGAAGCUCUUGAUCGAAGCCCCGGUAAACGGCGGCCGUAACUAUAACGGUCCUAAGGUAGCGAAAUUCCUUGUCGGGUAAGUUCCGACCUGCACGAAUGGCGUAAUGAUGGCCAGGCUGUCUCCACCCGAGACUCAGUGAAAUUGAACUCGCUGUGAAGAUGCAGUGUACCCGCGGCAAGACGGAAAGACCCCGUGAACCUUUACUAUAGCUUGACACUGAACAUUGAGCCUUGAUGUGUAGGAUAGGUGGGAGGCUUUGAAGCGUGGACGCCAGUCUGCGUGGAGCCAACCUUGAAAUACCACCCUUUAAUGUUUGAUGUUCUAACGUUGGCCCCUUACCGGGGUUGCGGACAGUGUCUGGUGGGUAGUUUGACUGGGGCGGUCUCCUCCCAAAGCGUAACGGAGGAGCACGAAGGUUAGCUAAUCCUGGUCGGACAUCAGGAGGUUAGUGCAAUGGCAUAAGCUAGCUUGACUGCGAGCGUGACGGCGCGAGCAGGUGCGAAAGCAGGUCAUAGUGAUCCGGUGGUUCUGAAUGGAAGGGCCAUCGCUCAACGGAUAAAAGGUACUCCGGGGAUAACAGGCUGAUACCGCCCAAGAGUUCAUAUCGACGGCGGUGUUUGGCACCUCGAUGUCGGCUCAUCACAUCCUGGGGCUGAAGUAGGUCCCAAGGGUAUGGCUGUUCGCCAUUUAAAGUGGUACGCGAGCUGGGUUUAGAACGUCGUGAGACAGUUCGGUCCCUAUCUGCCGUGGGCGCUGGAGAAUUGAGGGGGGCUGCUCCUAGUACGAGAGGACCGGAGUGGACGCAUCACUGGUGUUCGGGUUGUCAUGCCAAUGGCACUGCCCGGUAGCUAAAUGCGGAAGAGAUAAGUGCUGAAAGCAUCUAAGCACGAAACUUGCCCCGAGAUGAGUUCUCCCUGAGACUUUAAGUCUCCUGAAGGAACGUUAAAGACGAUGACGUUGAUAGGCCGGGUGUGUAAGCGCAGCGAUGCGUUGAGCUAACCGGUACUAAUGAACCGUGAGGCUUAACCUU